RNAcentral lists this ribosomal RNA (1877 nucleotides) under human gut metagenome. RNAcentral describes it as "bacterial LSU rRNA". It matches the Rfam family "Bacterial large subunit ribosomal RNA", at positions 864 to 2723 of the family's 2925-position model. The record is from RNAcentral.
AACUAUUGAGGUAGUGCCUCGUGUGUCGCUCCAGGGGGUAGAGCACUGUUUUGGCUAGGGGGACAUGGAGUCUUACCAAACCAAGGCAAACUCCGAAUACCUGGAAGCGUGAGCACGGGAGACAGAGCACCGGGUGCUAACGUCCGGACUCAAAAGGGAAACAACCCAGACCGCCGGCUAAGGUCCCAAAUAACAGCUAAGUGGAAAACGAAGUGGAAAGGCCGUGACAACCAGGAAGUUGGCUUAGAAGCAGCCAUCCUUCAAAGAAAGCGUAAUAGCUCACUGGUCGAGUCCUUCUGCGCGGAAGAUGUAACGGGGCUAAGCUGUUAACCGAAGCCGCGGAUGCACUGGUUAUCCAGUGCGUGGUAGGGGAGCGUUCUGUAAGUCUGCGAAGGCGGUUCGAGAGGACUGCUGGAGAUAUCAGAAGUGCGAAUGCUGACAUAAGUAACGAUAAAACGGGUGAAAAACCCGUUCGCCGGAAGACCAAGGGUUCCUGUCCAACGUUAAUCGGGGCAGGGUGAGUCGGCCCCUAAGGCGAGGCUGAAAAGCGUAGUCGAUGGGAAACGGGUUAAUAUUCCCGUACUUGGAUAAACUGCGAUGUGGGGACGGAGCAGGUUAGGUUAUCGCACUGUUGGAUAUGUGCGUUUAAGUUGGUAGGUGAGAAGUUUAGGCAAAUCCGGACUUCUUUAACACCGAGAGAUGAUGACGAGGCUCUACGGAGCUGAAGUAACCGAUACCACACUUCCAGGAAAAGCCACUAAGCUUCAGGUUUAUCUAAACCGUACUGAAAACCGACACAGGUGGUCAGGUAGAGAAUACUCAGGCGCUUGAGAGAACUCGGGUGAAGGAACUAGGCAAAAUAGCACCGUAACUUCGGGAGAAGGUGCGCCGGCGUAGAUUGUAGUCCCUUGCGGAUGAAGGUUGAACCGGUCGAAGAUACCAGCUGGCUGCAACUGUUUAUUAAAAACACAGCACUCUGCAAACACGAAAGUGGACGUAUAGGGUGUGAUGCCUGCCCGGUGCUGGAAGGUUAAUUGAUGGUGUAAUCGAAAGAGAAGCUCCUGAUCGAAGCCCCAGUAAACGGCGGCCGUAACUAUAACGGUCCUAAGGUAGCGAAAUUCCUUGUCGGGUAAGUUCCGACCUGCACGAAUGGCAUAAUGAUGGCCAGGCUGUCUCCACCCGAGACUCAGUGAAAUUGAAAUCGCCGUGAAGAUGCGGUGUACCCGCGGCUAGACGGAAAGACCCCGUGAACCUUUACUAUAGCUUGACACUGAACAUUGAAUUUUGAUGUGUAGGAUAGGUGGGAGACUUUGAAGUAGUCACGCCAGUGAUUAUGGAGUCGUCCUUGAAAUACCACCCUUUAACGUUUGAUGUUCUAACGAAGAUUACGAAACGUGGUCUCGGACAGUGUCUGGUGGGUAGUUUGACUGGGGCGGUCUCCUCCCAAAGAGUAACGGAGGAGCACGAAGGUUUGCUAAUGACGGUCGGACAUCGUCAGGUUAGUGCAAUGGUAUAAGCAAGCUUAACUGCGAGACAGACAAGUCGAGCAGGUACGAAAGUAGGUCAUAGUGAUCCGGUGGUUCUGAAUGGAAGGGCCAUCGCUCAACGGAUAAAAGGUACUCCGGGGAUAACAGGCUGAUACCGCCCAAGAGUUCAUAUCGACGGCGGUGUUUGGCACCUCGAUGUCGGCUCAUCACAUCCUGGGGCUGAAGUAGGUCCCAAGGGUAUGGCUGUUCGCCAUUUAAAGUGGUACGCGAGCUGGGUUUAGAACGUCGUGAGACAGUUCGGUCCCUAUCUGCCGUGGGCGUUGGAGAAUUGAUUGGGGCUGCUCCUAGUACGAGAGGACCGGAGUGGACGCAUCACUGGUGUUCCAGUUG